RNAcentral lists this long non-coding RNA (942 nucleotides) under Pan troglodytes (chimpanzee). RNAcentral's name for it is "lincRNA". Lineage: Eukaryota; Metazoa; Chordata; Mammalia; Primates; Hominidae. The record is from RNAcentral.
CUCAGUGGUGAAGGCUGUGCGGACACUGGGGGCCCGCCAGGGGUUUGGCCCCUUACUCAACCCAACCACGGUCCUCUCCGGCGCAGGCCGAUUUGAGGACCUAGACUCCUUGAUGCUGACGGCCUGAGGGGGCUCCCGGGUGCCGGAUAUCUGACACAGGCCAGGGAGGCUCCCCUGGGAGACCUGGCAGGCCUGGAGGUGUGAGUCGGCUCUGAGCAGCUGCUCUGGGAGAGCCAGUCCACGGAGCCAAAGCUGGAGGGGAGCUGCCGGCCACAAGGUGGGGAGGAGGAGAGACGCAAGGCCGUCAGAUGCUUGCCCUGGAAACCAACCAUGAUGCUGUGAUGUUGGCAACUGAGUUGUGUUUCAGCCCAAAGCAGCAAAUGGAAUCCAGCUUCAGGACCAUCAUCUGACAUAGGGGAAGAAGACUUACAUAGAAGGCCUAACCAGCACCCAAGAUCAUGCUCAUAGGUGGAGGAGACUUGCUUUGUCUCCUCCUUUGAGUUAAUGCUGAAAUGAGUUGAGACUUUGGGGAACUGUUGGGAAGGAAUGAUUGGUUUUAAAUAUGAAUAUAUGAGAUUUGGGAGGGGGCCAGGGGUGGAAUGAUAUGGUUUGGCUCUGUGUCCCCAACCAAAUCUCAUCUUGUAGCUCCCAUAAUCCUCCCAUGUUGUGGGAGGGACCCAGUGGGAGAUGAUUGAAUCAUGAGGGCGGGUCUUUCUCAUGCUGUUCAUGAUCCCAUUCAUGUGAGAAAGACCCAUGUGAUCAUGAAUGGGUCUCACAAGAUCUGAUGGUGUUAAAAAUGGGAGUUUCUCUGCACAAGCUCUCUGCCUGCUGCCAUUCACAAAGGAUGUGACUUGCUUCUCCUUGCCUUCUGCCAUGAUUGUGAGGCCUCCCUAGCCAUGUGGAACUGUGAGUCCAAUUAAACCUCUUUCUUUUGUAAAUUGA